Molecule: ribosomal RNA, 464 nt
Filed under: uncultured bacterium
Lineage: Bacteria
Description: partial 16S ribosomal RNA
Rfam family: Bacterial small subunit ribosomal RNA
Source: RNAcentral
CUACGGGGGGCACCAGUGGGGAAUAUUGCACAAUGGGCGCAAGCCUGAUGCAGCCAUGCCGCGUGUAUGAAGAAGGCCUUCGGGUUGUAAAGUACUUUCAGCGGGGAGGAAGGGAGUAAAGUUAAUACCUUUGCUCAUUGACGUUACCCGCAGAAGAAGCACCGGCUAACUCCGUGCCAGCAGCCGCGGUAAUACGGAGGGUGCAAGCGUUAAUCGGAAUUACUGGGCGUAAAGCGCACGCAGGCGGUUUGUUAAGUCAGAUGUGAAAUCCCCGGGCUCAACCCGGGAACUGCAUCUGAUACUGGCAAGCUUGAGUCUCGUAGAGGGGGGUAGAAUUCCAGGUGUAGCGGUGAAAUGCGUAGAGAUCUGGAGGAAUACCGGUGGCGAAGGCGGCCCCCUGGACGAAGACUGACGCUCAGGUGCGAAAGCGUGGGGAGCAAACAGGAUUAGAUACCCUUGUAGUC